Homo sapiens (human) is the source of this 2949-nucleotide long non-coding RNA. RefSeq lists it as uncharacterized. The transcript has 2 exons. The record is from RefSeq and is a predicted model, not a curated record. Lineage: Eukaryota; Metazoa; Chordata; Mammalia; Primates; Hominidae.
CAUGCUGGGAGCUGUAGACCAGAGCUGUUCCUAUUUGGCCAUCUUGGCCGCCCUCCCCUGACUUCUUUAUAGUACUGAGAUUUCUAAUACAUUAACAUGUAUCUAUUUUCAACUUUGCUUUUCCUAAACUAGAGGUGGCGACAGUUUCCCAUUGUUAUUACACUCUGGGUUACCGCCCCAUCCUGUCUGCCUUUUCACUUCUUCCAUCACCACUUGUAUAACCAAAUACCUAUAUUAAGAUGGAUGUGAAAGAAUUCUGAAUUAUUUUGGAAUUCUAAGAUUCUAAAUGAACCACACUGGAGUCUCCUCUGAUCCCUUCCCCAGAAACCGUGUGGUACACCUGGUCAGCUUCUUCCAGAUACGCGGUGUCCAUUGUACUUCCCUGCUUACCUACGUGGCAGGUAAUGGCAAAUUCAUACCCGGCUACUGCCUUUGCUCUUGCCCCACCCUCAUUUUAGCAUGAAAGUAUCAGGAAAAUUGAAGAAAUCAUGUCACAAUACGUGAUAUUUAAAUCAAAUACAAACCAGCAAAGAAGUAUGUGUGAGUUGCCAUGAAAGGAAAUCCUGAAACGGCCUCUGAAGGAAGAGAAUGCUAGACGUGUGCUCCAGCUGCUACUUCAUCAGCACAAUUGCACAAUUUCAAGGCCUCCUGCUAUCCAGGCCUUGGUGAAAUCUCAUUAUCCCACCUUCCCAUAGAGCAACACUUACAGACGCCACCGUUUCCGUACCCCAACUCCUGUGUGAUUUUCUACACUCACGAGCAGGUUUUAAAAGGAAACUUCCAUUUUCAUGUUUCUCCUGGGGAAAUGAUUUUGAUGUUGAAAAUAUAGCCCUGUAAGAAUGUGACAAGGUGAUGAUUUCUCCAGUCAUUCUUCCACUGGAAGCUGCAAACCAAGGUCUCUGUGUCCAACACCAAUCAAAAUUGAUUACGGGGAGUGAAGAUGUUACUGUGUGUGGUUGCCAGCCUCUGAGUAAAGCACAUGCCACAGUGAGUGCUGAGAAUGCAGGGGAGUCGGGAAACCUUCAUUAACAUAAAAGCCACUAGUAGAAACCACACAGGCAUCUGAUUUUUAGUUUUCUUUUUUUAUGAUACAACAGCGAAGCAUGCUUACGUCAAAACCUUUUGAAUAUACACAAAACACAAGCCUACAAUGAAAAGUACUUAUAAUCUCAUCACCCAGAAGCAAUUGCUACUAACAUUUUGGUGUUUUUCUAACCAAUAUUUUCAGAGAACUUUUUAAAAAGUGGGUGCAUAUAAAAUUUUGUAUGUUCAUUUUUACCUUUUUGCACUAUAGCAGCACCGCUGCUAAAAUUCUUCAUCAUUUGUGAACGUUACUUGAAGUCUCAUGUUUUAUCCUAUGCUCUCUUCCAUCAUUGAGCCUCAAUAGGCUAUUUACAAUAUUUAACUUCAUAUAUAACACUGUUGGGACCACCUUUGUCAAGACAUUGAAGUAUUUCCUCAACUGUCUUACAUAUUAUGUCUUCAGGAAUUGAAAUUACUGUUCAAACAAUAAUAAUUCUAGAGGUUCUAGCUACAUAUUUCCAAGUAAUUUUCCAAAAAAUUAGGUGGAUGAAAGCCACAGCACUGCACUGAUUACCACAUAGUAGAGAUUUCUUUGCAUUCAUAUGGGGCCAAAUUGAGAGGCAACAUUCUCCAAAAGUCACCAGGACAAUAGCCAUCACAUCUCUGCAUCAUGUGGGAACAUGCUGGACAAGCCAAGCUGCAGAGCCAAAGCUGCAGGCUACAACAUCACAACCUCUUCCUGACAGUGCUGCUCUUCGCACAGGAAGAAUAUGAAAUCUACAGAGGUACUGGCAACUUAAAAAUAUUUCAAACCUAAGCCAAAAUACCUCAUGCACAAAGCUACAUCAUUGUACUGGUUAUGAGCCAUUCCUGCACCUGGAGAAAGAAUCCGAACAUCAUCCCUGGAUAGUGUUGGCUGAGCAGGCAGGACCUUGAGUAGGUCUCAGCAGGGACAUACAGACUUGGGCCAACAUGAUCACUGUCAUCCAGGUCCCUGGUGCUACAAAAGGCCAGGGCCAGCGAGCAUGAGACUGAGCAGAAGUGGAUUUCCUAGUGGGCGAGCGGCCAUCUCUGGGAUGCCUGGGGAAGCUUCCCUAGGCAGGAUACAAAGUUAUCGCCAGGUCUCUGAGCAUCAGGAGACAGUCAGGGUGGCAUGCACCCAGAAGGGCAGGCAUCCAGUGUCUGGAGAAUGAGACACCUAAGCAGGGCCUUGGCUGAUGGAGCAUCAGUAGGGGUGGGAUAUGAACGAGGCAGGGAGAAUGAGGGAACGUCACAUCCAAAAUCUGGCUAGGUCAGAUAUUUCUUAGGGAAGAUUUUUAGAUCCUAAGAAGCUGAAUAGAGAACCUCAAAGAGAAUGGCAGCGAAACAUCUCCAUCAGGUGUGCAAUUGUUUAAGAUUUCAUCUUUAAGAGGCCAGGAGAUGGAUGGUUAUUCAAGAGAUUGAAAUGUAACAUUUUUAUUUAAAACAUCAUAAAAGUAGAUGUCUAGGGGCCAAAUGGGCAAGUGCUACUCAGUUGAAGGAAUGUAGGAACUCAACAUUUCAGAAUCGUCCCUGCUGGGCUUUGACCAUCUGAUGGAAUUUUGAGACAGCAUGAUGCGACUAGUUCUAGGGUUAAAAAGACGCACUUUAAUGUCACCUGAACAUAACACUUCAGAAGAAGGUGAUAAACUUUUACACCCACCCAGGCUGAAGCUGGAGGGGAGUGGAGUUUCUGAAGCUGUGGCACAUGGUGCACAGGUCCAGCAAGUUCUCGGGCACCAGCAGUGCCCACGGUGGAAGACAGGCAGGACAGACGAGGGUGGAGGAAGGAGCCCAGGGCAGAGCCAGGACAAAGCUUGCUGGACAGUGUCACUCAUGGAGUGCCCCUAGCUUCACCCCAUCUGUGACAAAUAUUUUCAAGAUUUCCAUUAAAAAAAUUUACUGAAA